This 305-nucleotide ribosomal RNA is filed under the name uncultured bacterium. Its description in RNAcentral is "bacterial SSU rRNA". It matches the Rfam family "Bacterial small subunit ribosomal RNA", at positions 337 to 660 of the family's 1533-position model. The record is from RNAcentral.
UCCUACGGGGGCAGCAGUGGGGGAUAUUGCACAAUGGGGGAAACCCUGAUGCAGCGACGCCGCGUGGGUGAAGAAGCGCCUCGGCGCGUAAAGCCCUGUCAGCAGGGAAGAAAAUGACGGUACCUGAAGAAGAAGCCCCGGCUAACUACGUGCCAGCAGCCGCGGUAAUACGUAGGGGGCAAGCGUUAUCCGGAUUUACUGGGUGUAAAGGGAGCGUAGACGGUAGAGCAAGUCUGAAGUGAAAGCCCGCGGCUCAACUGCGGGACUGCUUUGGAAACUGUUCAACUGGAGUGCUGGAGAGGUAA